GUGGGGGGAGGCUGGGGACCUUCCUGUGGGGGCACAAAUCUUGUCCUGUCACUGGAGGAUGCACACAGCUCAUGGAGACCACGUCAACCACCGGCCUAAGGAAAGCAGCGGGAAAGCUAAAGUGUGACGCGGCUUAAGCAGCUUGUCUGAGUUUGCACAGCUGGCAAAUGGCUGAGCCAUGACUCACACCCAGGUCCAUCCACCGCCAAAGCUCCAGAUCUCUGGCAUCCUUCUAAGGUCAGAAAGGGAAAGAAAUCCCUAAUAAGGAGCCUGUGUGACGGCGUGCCCCCCUCCACUUUCCCACCCCUGCCAAGGACCCGUUUGAAGGCUGUUCACGCCAGUCACUGCAAUCACCAUUGAGCACAGAGAUGACAGUUCCAGCAAGCACUGACCUUCCAGCCCACUCUGCGGAGGAGAAGACUGAGGGGCAGAGAGGCUGUUGAUUUGCUGCAGUUGACUCUGACCCUAAUUUCCCGGCGCUGACUCAAACUCAUCAGGAACACUGCUUUCACUGAGUGUAUGAAGUGGUUUCUCCAUCCGUGUGGCUUUACCUGAACUCACACCGGUCCCACGGCCCAGGUGUGGAGCCGAGCACUCCCCUCUGCCUCCUCCCUGGACUGCAGGACCUGUGUCUCGCUUUAUGAAAGAGAUGCCAUUUGGGGAAGACUCGCAUUGUCGGGAGCGCUGUGGACGCUCCAGAAGGAGAUCAACACGAUGAUGACGAUGCCGGGUGGAGGGAAUGUGCACUUCUCGGGAGCCAGAAAAGAAUAAUCUGAAUGUCUCCAGCAUCAAGAAAAGACCAGUAUUGAAGGUGAUGGAUGCCUUAAUUACGCUGAUUGGAUCUUUACAAAUUAUAUUAAUGUAUUAAAUUAUUACAUGUAUGCAGAAAGUCUGUACACCUAUUAUGCACCAAUAAAAAAGAAAUUUUUUAAAGUGAAAAAAAA
This 944-nucleotide long non-coding RNA is filed under the name Homo sapiens (human). Its description in RNAcentral is "long independently transcribed non-coding RNA 1345 (LINC01345)". The record is from RNAcentral. Lineage: Eukaryota; Metazoa; Chordata; Mammalia; Primates; Hominidae.